CGGCGAUGUCCGAAUGGGGAAACCCAGUGUGAUUCGUCACACUAUCGUUAACUGAAUACAUAGGUUAACGAGGCGAACCGGGGGAACUGAAACAUCUAAGUACCCCGAGGAAAAGAAAUCAACCGAGAUUCCCCCAGUAGCGGCGAGCGAACGGGGAGCAGCCCAGAGUCUGAAUCAGCUUGUGUGUUAGUGGAACGGUCUGGAAAGUCCGACGGUACAGGGUGAUAGUCCCGUACACCAAAAUGCACAGGUUGUGAACUCGAAGAGUAGGGCGGGACACGUGGUAUCCUGUCUGAAUAUGGGGGGACCAUCCUCCAAGGCUAAAUACUCCUGACUGACCGAUAGUGAACCAGUACCGUGAGGGAAAGGCGAAAAGAACCCCGGCGAGGGGAGUGAAAAAGAACCUGAAACCGUGUACGUACAAGCAGUGGGAGCACCUUCGGGUGUGACUGCGUACCUUUUGUAUAAUGGGUCAGCGACUUAUAUUCUGUAGCAAGGUUAACCGUAUAGGGGAGCCGCAGGGAAACCGAGUCUUAACUGGGCGUUAAGUUGCAGGGUAUAGACCCGAAACCCGGUGAUCUAGCCAUGGGCAGGUUGAAGGUUGGGUAACACUAACUGGAGGACCGAACCGACUAAUGUUGAAAAAUUAGCGGAUGACUUGUGGCUGGGGGUGAAAGGCCAAUCAAACCGGGAGAUAGCUGGUUCUCCCCGAAAGCUAUUUAGGUAGCGCCUCGUGAAUUCAUCUUCGGGGGUAGAGCACUGUUUCGGCUAGGGGGUCAUCCCGACUUACCAACCCGAUGCAAACUACGAAUACCGAAGAAUGUUAUCACGGGAGACACACGGCGGGUGCUAACGUCCGUCGUGAAGAGGGAAACAACCCAGACCGCCAGCUAAGGUCCCAAAGUCAUGGUUAAGUGGGAAACGAUGUGGGAAGGCACAGACAGCCAGGAUGUUGGCUUAGAAGCAGCCAUCAUUUAAAGAAAGCGUAAUAGCUCACUGGUCGAGUCGGCCUGCGCGGAAGAUGUAACGGGGCUAAACCAUGCACCGAAGCUGCGGCAGCGACACUAUGUGUUGUUGGGUAGGGGAGCGUUCUGUAAGCCUGCGAAGGUGACCUGUGAGGGUUGCUGGAGGUAUCAGAAGUGCGAAUGCUGACAUAAGUAACGAUAAAGCGGGUGAAAAGCCCGCUCGCCGGAAGACCAAGGGUUCCUGUCCAACGUUAAUCGGGGCAGGGUGAGUCGACCCCUAAGGCGAGGCCGAAAGGCGUAGUCGAUGGGAAACAGGUUAAUAUUCCUGUACUUGGUGUUACUGCGAAGGGGGGACGGAGAAGGCUAUGUUAGCCGGGCGACGGUUGUCCCGGUUUAAGCAUGUAGGCUGGUUAUCCAGGCAAAUCCGGAUAAUCAAGGCUGAGGUGUGAUGACGAGGCACUACGGUGCUGAAGUAACAAAUGCCCUGCUUCCAGGAAAAGCCUCUAAGCAUCAGGUAACAUCAAAUCGUACCCCAAACCGACACAGGUGGUCAGGUAGAGAAUACCAAGGCGCUUGAGAGAACUCGGGUGAAGGAACUAGGCAAAAUGGUGCCGUAACUUCGGGAGAAGGCACGCUGGUGUGUAGGUGAAGCCCCUGCGGGUGGAGCUGAGACCAGUCGAAGAUACCAGCUGGCUGCAACUGUUUAUUAAAAACACAGCACUGUGCAAACACGAAAGUGGACGUAUACGGUGUGACGCCUGCCCGGUGCCGGAAGGUUAAUUGAUGGGGUUAUCCGUAAGGAGAAGCUCUUGAUCGAAGCCCCGGUAAACGGCGGCCGUAACUAUAACGGUCCUAAGGUAGCGAAAUUCCUUGUCGGGUAAGUUCCGACCUGCACGAAUGGCGUAAUGAUGGCCAGGCUGUCUCCACCCGAGACUCAGUGAAAUUGAACUCGCUGUGAAGAUGCAGUGUACCCGCGGCAAGACGGAAAGACCCCGUGAACCUUUACUAUAGCUUGACACUGAACAUUGAGCCUUGAUGUGUAGGAUAGGUGGGAGGCUUUGAAGCGUGGACGCCAGUCUGCGUGGAGCCAACCUUGAAAUACCACCCUUUAAUGUUUGAUGUUCUAACGUUGGCCCCUGACCGGGGUUGCGGACAGUGUCUGGUGGGUAGUUUGACUGGGGCGGUCUCCUCCCAAAGCGUAACGGAGGAGCACGAAGGUUAGCUAAUCCUGGUCGGACAUCAGGAGGUUAGUGCAAUGGCAUAAGCUAGCUUGACUGCGAGCGUGACGGCGCGAGCAGGUGCGAAAGCAGGUCAUAGUGAUCCGGUGGUUCUGAAUGGAAGGGCCAUCGCUCAACGGAUAAAAGGUACUCCGGGGAUAACAGGCUGAUAC
Molecule: ribosomal RNA, 2355 nt
Filed under: Klebsiella pneumoniae
Lineage: Bacteria; Pseudomonadati; Pseudomonadota; Gammaproteobacteria; Enterobacterales; Enterobacteriaceae
Description: bacterial LSU rRNA
Rfam family: Bacterial large subunit ribosomal RNA
Source: RNAcentral